UACGGAGGGGACUAGCGUUGUUCGGAAUUACUGGGCGUAAAGCGCACGUAGGCGGAUUUGUAAGUCAGGGGUGAAAUCCCGGGGCUCAACCUCGGAACUGCCUUUGAUACUGCAAAUCUCGAGUCCGGAAGAGGUGAGUGGAAUUCCUAGUGUAGAGGUGAAAUUCGUAGAUAUUAGGAAGAACACCAGUGGCGAAGGCGGCUCACUGGUCCGGUACUGACGCUGAGGCGCGAAAGCGUGGGGAGCAAAC
This 250-nucleotide ribosomal RNA is filed under the name uncultured bacterium. RNAcentral describes it as "partial 16S ribosomal RNA". It matches the Rfam family "Bacterial small subunit ribosomal RNA", at positions 524 to 773 of the family's 1533-position model. The record is from RNAcentral.